CUGCGAAACAGCCCGAGGUCCGGGAAGAGAAGGGUGCGCAUGCGCCUUAGGCUCGGCUUUUUACAACGAAAAAAAAACCGCUAGCUCUUGCUCUGGCUGCGAAGCAGCCCUAAGUCCGCCAGGCCAAAAGCGGAGGACCGAAAAGCUGCAGACAGGAGGAACUUGGGGCUUCCUCCCUGCCCUACCUCAAUCCAUGGAGCCCCACUUUUCUUGGUUACCAGGAAGCAGUGUGGCCUAAGGGGAGGAACAGGGGCCUGGCGUCUCAUCCCAGCUUCACCACUUGUCCGCCGCGUGACCUCGGACAAGUCGCUAGACUGCUCCGUGACUCAGGAAUAAAUCGUUCCCUGUCUCCGUGAGUGAGCAAGUGAUUACCUGCAAGGUCCAUUUUAAGGUGAAAAUCCUGGAGGGGAAUAUAAAUUACGGUCAUUCGCAAACAAGUCGUCCAACAUUCCCAUCGGUCCGACCAGAAACGGGCAGAGAAGAAUGAGCAGUCCGAGCAGAAACGUUAAUCAGAGGUCACAAUCAGUACAAGAGCCACUUCCCUGGGGGGCCUGGGGCCCCCCACUGCCCUGCCCCGUCAGGAGUGUCUGAUGACCAUGCCAGAAGUGGAGCCAGAGAAGUGGCCGGUCCACACGAUUUCGCCUCCCCGGGUUUGGGGAAGCAUCUUGGCAUCAGAGAAGCAGCCUGGCUCAGUGGAAAGAGAACAGGCUUGGGUGUCAGA
Long non-coding RNA from Tachyglossus aculeatus (Australian echidna), 721 nucleotides. RefSeq lists it as uncharacterized. The transcript is spliced from 3 exons. The record is from RefSeq and is a predicted model, not a curated record. Lineage: Eukaryota; Metazoa; Chordata; Mammalia; Monotremata; Tachyglossidae.